RNAcentral lists this ribosomal RNA (253 nucleotides) under uncultured bacterium. RNAcentral describes it as "partial 16S ribosomal RNA". It matches the Rfam family "Bacterial small subunit ribosomal RNA", at positions 524 to 776 of the family's 1533-position model. The record is from RNAcentral.
UACAGAGGGUGCAAGCGUUAAUCGGAAUUACUGGGCGUAAAGGGCGCGUAGGCGGCCUUCUAAGUCAUGCGUGAAAUCCCCGGGCUCAACCCGGGAACUGCGUCUGAUACUGGAGGGCUUGAAUCCGGGAGAGGGAUGUGGAAUUCCAGGUGUAGCGGUGAAAUGCGUAGAUAUCUGAAGGAACAUCAGUGGCGAAAGCGACUUCCUGGACCAAUACUGACGCUCAUGUGCGAAAGCGUGGGGAGCAAACAGG